RNAcentral lists this ribosomal RNA (429 nucleotides) under Actinomycetes bacterium. RNAcentral's name for it is "Actinobacteria bacterium partial 16S ribosomal RNA". It matches the Rfam family "Bacterial small subunit ribosomal RNA", at positions 355 to 776 of the family's 1533-position model. Lineage: Bacteria; Bacillati; Actinomycetota; Actinomycetes. The record is from RNAcentral.
UAGGGAAUCUUCCGCAAUGGGCGAAAGCUUGACGGAGCAACGCCGCGUGAGUGAUGAAGGUCUUCGGAUCGUAAAACUCUGUUAUUAGGGAAGAACAAAUGUGUAAGUAACUAUGCACGUCUUGACGGUACCUAAUCAGAAGGCCACGGCUAACUACGUGCCAGCAGCCGCGGUAAUACGUAGGUGGCAAGCGUUAUCCGGAAUUAUUGGGCGUAAAGCGCGCGUAGGCGGUUUUUUAAGUCUGAUGUGAAAGCCCACGGCUCAACCGUGGAGGGUCAUUGGAAACUGGAAAACUUGAGUGCAGAAGAGGAAAGUGGAAUUCCAUGUGUAGCGGUGAAAUGCGCAGAGAUAUGGAGGAACACCAGUGGCGAAGGCGACUUUCUGGUCUGUAACUGACGCUGAUGUGCGAAAGCGUGGGGAUCAAACAGG